RNAcentral lists this ribosomal RNA (634 nucleotides) under uncultured bacterium. Its description in RNAcentral is "bacterial SSU rRNA". The stretch from base 1 to 542 matches the Rfam family "Bacterial small subunit ribosomal RNA", at positions 338 to 873 of the family's 1533-position model. The record is from RNAcentral.
CCUACGGGAGGCAGCAGUGGGGAAUUUUGGACAAUGGGCGAAAGCCUGAUCCAGCCAUGCCGCGUGCAGGAUGAAGGCCUUCGGGUUGUAAACUGCUUUUGUACGGAACGAAAAGACUCUGGUUAAUACCUGGGGUCCAUGACGGUACCGUAAGAAUAAGCACCGGCUAACUACGUGCCAGCAGCCGCGGUAAUACGUAGGGUGCAAGCGUUAAUCGGAAUUACUGGGCGUAAAGCGUGCGCAGGCGGUUAUAUAAGACAGAUGUGAAAUCCCCGGGCUCAACCUGGGAACUGCAUUUGUGACUGUAUAGCUAGAGUACGGUAGAGGGGGAUGGAAUUCCGCGUGUAGCAGUGAAAUGCGUAGAUAUGCGGAGGAACACCGAUGGCGAAGGCAAUCCCCUGGACCUGUACUGACGCUCAUGCACGAAAGCGUGGGGAGCAAACAGGAUUAGAUACCCUGGUAGUCCACGCCCUAAACGAUGUCAACUGGUUGUUGGGUCUUCACUGACUCAGUAACGAAGCUAACGCGUGAAGUUGACCGCCUGGGGGAGGACGGCCGCGAGUUAGUUAAACGUUAAAGGUUAAAGUUAGUACGGCGUUGAGACGUUGCCGACGGACGACGACGAGGGAGGAGG